UACGGAAGGCAGCAGGGGGAAUAUUGCACAAUGGGCGAAAGCCUGAUGCAGCUAUGCCGCGUGUAUGAAGAAGGCCUUAGGGUUGUAAAGUACUUUCAUCGGGGAGGAAAAAACAAAACUAAUAAUUUUAUUUCUUGACGUUACCCGAAAAAGAAGCACCGGCUAACUCCGUGCCAGCAGCCGCGGUAAUACGGAGGAUGCUAGCGUUAAUCAGAAUUACUGGGCGUAAAGAGCACGUAGGUGGUUUUUUUAAGUUCAGAUGUGAAUCCCUGGGCUUAACCUAGGAACUGCAUUUUGAAACUGAAAUACUAGAGUAUCGUAGAGGGAGGUAGAAUUCUAGGUGUAGCGGUGAAAUGCGUAGAUAUCUGGAGGAAUACCUGUGGCGAAAGCGGCCUCCUAAACGAAUACUGACACUGAGGUGCGAAAGCGUGGGGAGCAAACAGGGAUUAGAUACC
Molecule: ribosomal RNA, 455 nt
Filed under: uncultured bacterium
Lineage: Bacteria
Description: bacterial SSU rRNA
Rfam family: Bacterial small subunit ribosomal RNA
Source: RNAcentral